GAUGAACGCUGGCGGCGUGCUUAACACAUGCAAGUCGAACGGAAAGGCCCCUGCUUGCAGGGGUACUCGAGUGGCGAACGGGUGAGUAACACGUGGGUGAUCUGCCCUGCACUUCGGGAUAAGCCUGGGAAACUGGGUCUAAUACCGGAUAGGACGAUGGUUUGGAUGCCAUUGUGGAAAGUUUUUCGGUGUGGGAUGAGCUCUCGGCCUAUCAGCUUGUUGGUGGGGUAAUGGCCUACCAAGGCGUCGACGGGUAGCCGGCCUGAGAGGGUGUACGGCCACAUUGGGACUGAGAUACGGCCCAGACUCCUACGGGAGGCAGCAGUGGGGAAUAUUGCACAAUGGGCGCAAGCCUGAUGCAGCGACGCCGCGUGGGGGAUGACGGCCUUCGGGUUGUAAACUCCUUUCGUCAGGGACGAAGCGAAAGUGACGGUACCUGGAUAAGAAGCACCGGCUAACUACGUG
Molecule: ribosomal RNA, 465 nt
Filed under: uncultured bacterium
Lineage: Bacteria
Description: partial 16S ribosomal RNA
Rfam family: Bacterial small subunit ribosomal RNA
Source: RNAcentral